RNAcentral lists this ribosomal RNA (1948 nucleotides) under human gut metagenome. RNAcentral's name for it is "bacterial LSU rRNA". It matches the Rfam family "Bacterial large subunit ribosomal RNA", at positions 1 to 1973 of the family's 2925-position model. The record is from RNAcentral.
GAAAGUAAGCAAGGGCAGACGGUGGAUGCCUUGGCUCUCGGAGGCGAUGAAGGACGUGAUAAGCUGCGAAAAGCUCGGGGGAGGCGCAAAUAGCCCUUGAUCCCGGGAUAUCCGAAUGGGGCAACCCGGCAGGCUGAAGGCCUGCCAUCCCGUAAGGGAGGCGAACGUGGGGAACUGAAACAUCUAAGUACCCAUAGGAGGAGAAAAUAAACAAUGAUUCCGUAAGUAGUGGCGAGCGAACACGGAAGAGCCCAAACCCGUGCCGUCUAGGCGACACGGGGGUUGUAGGACCACGACGUGGCAAGAUAGAGUCAAGUGGAACGCCUUGGAAAAGGCGACCGUAGAGGGUGAUAGUCCCGUACACGACUGACGAUUGAAGCCUAGUGGCAUCCUGAGUAGCGCGGGGCACGAGAAAUCUUGCGUGAAACUGCGGGGCCCAUCCCGUAAGGCUAAAUACUCCCGAGAGACCGAUAGCGAACCAGUACCGUGAGGGAAAGGUGAAAAGAACCCCGAGCAGGGGAGUGAAAUAGACCCUGAACCCGUCUGCCUACAAGCGGUCGGAGCAUCGUCAAGAUGUGACGGCGUGCCUUUUGCAUAAUGAACCUACGAGUUACCUUCCCCGGCAAGGUUAAGUACCUAAGGUACGGAGCCGAAGCGAAAGCGAGUCUGAAUAGGGCGGCCAGUCGGGGGGGGUAGACGCGAAACCGAGUGAUCUACCCUUGGCCAGGUUGAAGGUUGGGUAACACCAACUGGAGGACCGGAUGGGUAAGCGUUGAAAAGCUUUCCAAUGAGCUGAGGGUAGGGGUGAAAGGCUAAUCAAACUCGGAGAUAGCUCGUACUCCCCGAAAUGCAUUUAGGUGCAGCCUCUUUAUAGUAUAUCGUGAGGUAGAGCGACUGAUUGGAUGCGAGGGCUUCACCGCCUAUCAAGUCCAGAUAAACUCCGAAUGCGCGAUAUAUAUUUAAAGGGAGUGAGGGCGCGGGUGCUAAGGUCCGUGUCCGAGAGGAGAAGAAUCCAGACCACCGGCUAAGGCCCCCAAAUGAUCGUUGAGUUGAACUAACGAGGUCGGAUCGCAGAGACAGCUAGGAUGUUGGCUUGGAAGCAGCCAUUCAUUUAAAGAGUGCGUAACAGCUCACUAGUCGAGCGAUCUGGCGUGGAUAAUAAUCGGGCAUAAACGAUCUGCCGAAGCCGUGGAUGUCGUAAGACAUGGUAGGGGAGCAUUCCAUGCGGCGUCGAAGAUGAGGGAUGACCCUUGUUGGAGCGCAUGGAAAAGCAAAUGUAGGUAUGAGUAACGAUAAGGGGGGCGAGAAACCCCCCCGCCGAAAGACCAAGGUUUCCUGAUCAACGCUAAUCGGAUCAGGGUGAGUCGGGACCUAAGGCAAAGCCGAACGGCGACGCCGAUGGAAGAAUGGGUUAAUAUUCCCAUACUGCCUCAUGGAGUGACGUGGAGACGGAGAAGUGACAGUCCUGCCGGCUGACGGAAUAGCCGGUUGAAGGGUGUAGAUAUUGAUUCCCGUAGGCAAAUCCGCGGGGAGAGUCGAACCUGAGAGUAUACCGAGUACUUGUACGAGGUAAUAUGGACGUAACCAUGCUCCCGAGAAAAUCCGCUAAACUUAUCCAUGCGGCACCCGUACCGUAAACGGACACACGUGGUCGGGUUGAGAAUACUGAGGCGCUCGAGUGACUCACGGUUAAGGAACUAGGCAAAUUGACCCUGUAACUUCGGGAUAAAGGGUCCUCGUCGUAAGGCGAGGCGCAGAGAAUAGGUCCAGGCAACUGUUUAACAAAAACACAUGGCUGUGCUAAAUGGAAACAUGACGUAUACAGCCUGACACCUGCCCGGUGCUGGAAGGUUAAGAGGAGAUGUCAUCGCAAGAGAAGCGUUGAAUUGAAGCCCCAGUAAACGGCGGCCGUAACUAUAACGGUCCUAAGGUAGCGAAAUUCCUUGUC